UGGGGAAUAUUGGACAAUGGGGGGAACCCUGAUCCAGCCAUGCCGCGUGUGUGAAGAAGGCCUUAUGGUUGUAAAGCACUUUAAGCGAGGAGGAGGGUACUGGUAUUAAUACUACCAGGUACUGGACGUUACUCGCAGAAUAAGCACCGGCUAACUCUGUGCCAGCAGCCGCGGUAAUACAGAGGGUGCGAGCGUUAAUCGGAUUUACUGGGCGUAAAGCGUGCGUAGGCGGCUAAUUGAGUCGGAUGUGAAAUCCCCGAGCUUAACUUGGGAAUUGCAGUCGAUACUGGUUAGCUAGAGUGUGGGAGAGGGUGAUAGAAUUCCAGGUGUAGCGGUGAAAUGCGUAGAGAUCUGGAGGAAUACCGAUGGCGAAGGCAGCCAUCUGGCCUAACACUGACGCUGAGGUACGAAAGCAUGGGGAGCAAACAGG
RNAcentral lists this ribosomal RNA (430 nucleotides) under Pseudomonadota bacterium. RNAcentral describes it as "Proteobacteria bacterium partial 16S ribosomal RNA". It matches the Rfam family "Bacterial small subunit ribosomal RNA", at positions 355 to 776 of the family's 1533-position model. The record is from RNAcentral. Lineage: Bacteria; Pseudomonadati; Pseudomonadota.